Molecule: microRNA precursor, 94 nt
Organism: Sciurus vulgaris (Eurasian red squirrel)
Lineage: Eukaryota; Metazoa; Chordata; Mammalia; Rodentia; Sciuridae
Gene: MIR181C
Product: microRNA 181c
Source: Ensembl
GCCAAGGGUUUGGGGGAACAUUCAACCUGUCGGUGAGUUUGGGCAGCUCAGGCAAACCAUCGACCGUUGAGUGGACCCCGAGGCCUGGAACUGC